Molecule: ribosomal RNA, 253 nt
Filed under: uncultured bacterium
Lineage: Bacteria
Description: partial 16S ribosomal RNA
Rfam family: Bacterial small subunit ribosomal RNA
Source: RNAcentral
UACGUAGGGGGCAAGCGUUGUCCGGAUUUAUUGGGCGUAAAGAGCGUGUAGGCGGCUCGGUAAGUCUGCUGUGAAAGUCGGGGGCUCAACCCUCGGAUGCCGGUGGAUACUGUCGGGCUUGAGUACGGAAGAGGCGAGUGGAAUUCCUGGUGUAGCGGUGAAAUGCGCAGAUAUCAGGAGGAACACCAAUUGCGAAGGCAGCUCGCUGGGACGUUACUGACGCUGAGACGCGAAAGCGUGGGGAGCAAACAGG